RNAcentral lists this ribosomal RNA (497 nucleotides) under uncultured bacterium. RNAcentral's name for it is "partial 16S ribosomal RNA". It matches the Rfam family "Bacterial small subunit ribosomal RNA", at positions 28 to 507 of the family's 1533-position model. The record is from RNAcentral.
GAUGAACGCUGGCGGCGUGCCUAAUACAUGCAAGUCGAGCGAACAGAUGAGGAGCUUGCUCCUCUGACGUUAGCGGCUGACGGGUGAGUAACACGUGGAUAACCUACCUAUAAGACUGGGAUAACUUCGGGAAACCGGAGCUAAUACCGGAUAAUAUAUUGAACCGCAUGGUUCAAUAGUGAAAGACGGUUUUGCUGUCUCUUAUAGAUGGAUCCGCGCCGCAUUAGCUAGUUGGUAAGGUAACGGCUUACCAAGGCGACGAUGCGUAGCCGACCUGAGAGGGUGAUCGGCCACACUGGAACUGAGACACGGUCCAGACUCCUACGGGAGGCAGCAGUAGGGAAUCUUCCGCAAUGGGCGAAAGCCUGACGGAGCAACGCCGCGUGAGUGAUGAAGGUCUUCGGAUCGUAAAACUCUGUUAUUAGGGAAGAACAAAUGUGUAAGUAACUAUGCACGUCUUGACGGUACCUAAUCAGAAAGCCACGGCUAACUACGUG